Long non-coding RNA from Eucalyptus grandis, 459 nucleotides. RefSeq lists it as uncharacterized. The record is from RefSeq and is a predicted model, not a curated record. NCBI's taxonomy places the organism in Eukaryota, Viridiplantae, Streptophyta, Magnoliopsida, Myrtales, Myrtaceae. The transcript has 2 exons.
GCCACAGUUCAGCCACCUCCGGCCACCGUGCGCCGCCACUUCGACCCGUCGAAGUCCCCUCGCCCUCCACCGGCCUUGUCUAGCUCGAAUCAGCCCCGGAUCCACCCCUUCCAGCAGCGAUCAGUGAGUGCAGAAAGUGGGUAUCGCAGAGGGUUUUGGCCCGUUUUGGCCGUUUUCCCGAGCCCGGAUGCUCGGCCCGCUUUAAGGAAAGUUGACCCUCGCGUCGAGCCCGUCGUUUUGAGACCUGGAUGAGGAGCUUGAGGAGCAUGAAUCUGAUGAGGAGAUCUCUGUUGAGGAACCCAAAGAGGAGCAUGUGGAGGAGGACCCCGAGUAUGACAUCGAGUACGACUCGGAUGAGGAUCGAAAUCCUAUCCUAUCUUGUCAGACCUUGUUUGCAUGUAAAAAGAUGUAGUUGUGAAUUUUCAGUAAGAAAAAUAUAUGGCCUGCUUUUCUAUCCCA